GAUGAACGCUGGCGGCGUGCCUAACACAUGCAAGUCGAGCGGUAUAUAUCUAAACAAAACUUCGGUCUAGUGAGGGUAUAGAGAGCGGCGGACGGGUGAGUAACGCGUAGGCAACCUGCCCCAUACAGAGGGAUAGCCUCGGGAAACCGGGAUUAAAACCUCAUAACGCGAGAAGUUCACAUGGACUUUUCGCCAAAGAUUUAUCGGUAUGGGAUGGGCCUGCGUCUGAUUAGCUAGUUGGUGGGGUAACGGCCUACCAAGGCAACGAUCAGUAGCCGACCUGAGAGGGUAAUCGGCCACAUUGGAACUGAGACACGGUCCAAACUCCUACGGGAGGCAGCAGUGGGGAAUAUUGCACAAUGGGCGAAAGCCUGAUGCAGCAACGCCGCGUGAGCGAUGAAGGCCUUUGGGUCGUAAAGCUCUGUCCUUGGGGAAGAAAAAAAUGACGGUACCCUUGGAGGAAGCCCCGGCUAACUACGUGCCAGCAGCCGCGGUAAUACGUAGGGGGCAAGCGUUAUCCGGAAUUAUUGGGCGUAAAGAGUGCGUAGGUGGUUUUGUAAGCGCGGGGUGAAAGGCAAUAGCUCAACUAUUGUAAGCCCUGCGAACUGUGAGACUUGAGUGCAGGAGAGGAAAGCGGAAUUCCUAGUGUAGCGGUGAAAUGCGUAGAUAUUAGGAGGAACACCAGUGGCGAAGGCGGCUUUCUGGACUGUAACUGACACUGAGGCACGAAAGCGUGGGGAGCAAACAGGAUUAGAUACCCUGGUAGUCCACGCCGUAAACGAUGAGCACUAGGUGUCGGGGCCGCAAGGUUUCGGUGCCGCAGUUAACGCAUUAAGUGCUCCGCCUGGGGAGCACGCACGCAAGUGUG
This 868-nucleotide ribosomal RNA is filed under the name uncultured bacterium. RNAcentral describes it as "bacterial SSU rRNA". It matches the Rfam family "Bacterial small subunit ribosomal RNA", at positions 28 to 896 of the family's 1533-position model. The record is from RNAcentral.